Molecule: long non-coding RNA, 856 nt
Filed under: Androctonus crassicauda
Lineage: Eukaryota; Metazoa; Arthropoda; Arachnida; Scorpiones; Buthidae
Source: RNAcentral
UAAAUGUGUGUGUGUGUGUGUGUAAAUGUGUGUGUGUGUGUGUGUGUGUGUGUGUGGAGAAAUAAAAUUAAAUAUAUAGAAAUAAAACAAUAUAUAGCUACCAAGAGAAUAAAUUUAAUAUUAAAAAUAAUGUGGAUCUGCUGGGACAAACUAUACAGAUCUAGGCCUAUUGUGUUUGUAUGUAGUGGUUGCAUAUAAGUUUGAAUGGGUGAGCAAAAUCCUCUGACACAGUGACUGAAGGCAACAACAGUUUAAUCAAAUCAUAUAUCUUUUAUUGAGAGAGAGAGAGAGAUUGUGCAUAAGCAUUUUUGGAGAAUAAAUACAUGGUUUCUUUUCCUUUUAAUGAUCUACAAAGACUUGAAAUGAUGAUUCUGAUGAUCAAAUUUUAUUUGUGCUUUUUAAAGUGUCUAGUCCCAAAUACAGUCUCUAGUCCACCAACACACAAUUCCAAUAUUAUUUUUGAUGAAAGGAGUGAAGUAAUUUUUGUGGAAGCACUGAUUCCAUUGCUUAUGCCAAAGACUAAGGUCCCAACUCCACACGAAGGAUGACAGUCCUUGUCUGCACAAGUGAAAUUCUUGGGACCGACUGACUGCCUGAUCUCUUUUUUCUAUCUUUUUCAAAAAUAAGAAUUAAGAAGUAUGGUAUUUAUAUAUCAUUAUAUAUUGUUGUUUCUUGCUAAAAUGUCUAUUAUUAUUAUUAUUAUUAUUAUUAUUAUUAUUAUUAUUAUGUUGUUGUUUAUCAUAUGAGCACAAAAUAAUUCCAGAGAAAAGUGCUAUGUCAGACAAGAGUCAAGACAGCUACUUGUGAUGUUUAGUUGUGUGUUAACUAACAGUCUGUGUCAGAGCUGAGAAACUUU